CUGCAGUCAAUUAAGCCGACCGUGCUCUUUUCCCCAUGGGAGCAUGGUGUGCAGUGGCUGCGAACAGCAGCCUCCUUGGUAGUGUAUGCAGCCUGUUGCUUGGUAUGGGUUGCCCUAAGGGACCUUGGAGACAGCC
Molecule: small nucleolar RNA, 136 nt
Organism: Diceros bicornis minor
Lineage: Eukaryota; Metazoa; Chordata; Mammalia; Perissodactyla; Rhinocerotidae
Product: small nucleolar RNA SNORA70
Exons: 1
Source: RefSeq, a predicted model, not a curated record